RNA transcript from Papaver somniferum (opium poppy), 2553 nucleotides. It is a transcript of the gene named pentatricopeptide repeat-containing protein At3g29230-like, with no coding region annotated. The record is from RefSeq and is a predicted model, not a curated record. The transcript has 2 exons. Lineage: Eukaryota; Viridiplantae; Streptophyta; Magnoliopsida; Ranunculales; Papaveraceae.
AGAAGAAAAUUACAACGCAUUUCUACCUGAUGUUUUUAGGUAGUGGCUAGUGCUGCUGGUACUAUAAGAAUGGAUAUAAAUAUACGUACAAAGAAAACAAAAAGAACACAACAACAGAUUCAUCUCCUCAUCAAAUCAAACAUCUUCAACAACGAGUCAACGACCCAUUACUAGAAUCUCCCAAGAAAUUAUCAACACUCUCUUAAACACAAAACGCAACAACUCAGUCCAAUAUUAAAACAAACCCAUGCUUUAGUUAUCAGAAAUGGUUUAUCUGAAGAAAAUUUCAUUGCUGGUUCAUUGGUUAAAUGUCACUCAAACCCAUACUUCAAUGGUUUAUCCAUUGCACUCUAAGUGUUCACCUCUAUUCCUCAACCACAUCCUUUCUUAUGGAACUCAGUGAUUAUAGGUUGUCUAGAAAAUCAUGACCCUAAGAAAGCAAUAUCUUUUUAUAUUGAUACAACGGUGUUUAGUUCUGCGGGUAAUAAGUUUACUUAUCCGCCUUUGUUCAAGACUUCAAGGCGUGUAAAGUGGCAAAGAGAGAUUGAUGUUGGUGUUCAGAUUCAUGGGCAUAUUUUUAAGUAUGGACUUGGAGGAGAUUGUUAUAUUGCGCGUGCUGGUAUAUUGCGGAGAAUGCUUCAUAAGAGCGAGCAUGAGGCUGACGUUAUCUGUUGGAAUGCAAUGAUCGAUGGGUAUUUGAAAUGCGAGGAUUUGGAUUCUGCUAUUGGUUUGUUUGAGAGUAUGCCGGAUAAGAAUAAUGGGUCUUGGAAUGUUAUGAUUUCUCGGUAUGCCAAAGCUGGGGAGAUUGAAAUAGCUCAAGAGUUUUUUAACAAGAUGCCUGAAAGAGACGAUGUCUCUUGGAGUGCGAUAAUUUAUGGGUAUAUAAAGGGAGAUUAUUUCAAGGAGGCGUUGAGGGUUUUUCAUGAAAUGCAGAUGAAUGGAGUUCGACCGAGGAGAUAUGUACUUUCUAGUGUUUUAGCUGCCUGUGCGAACGUGGGGGCUCUUGAUCAAGGUAGAUGGAUUCAUGCUUGUGUUAAAAAAGAAUUCUAUUAGUAUUGACGCGAUUUUAGGUACAUCUUUAGUUGAUAUGUAUGCGAAAUAUGGGUGAUUAGAUAUGGCAUGGGAUGUUUUUGAAAAAAUGAGAAGGAAAGAAGUGUUUACUUGGAGUGCAAUGAUAGGAUGACUAGCUAUGCACGGGAGAGCUGAGGAUGCCAUUGAAUUGUUCUUGAAAAUGGAAAAGGAUAAGGCUAAACCAGAUGGAAUCACAUUUGCCGGUGUCUUGAAUGCUUGUGCUCAUUGCAGGAAUCAGGAUUUACCGAAAAAGGACUUCACUUCUUUGAUGCUAUGGAAAAUGUUUACGGAAUAUAACCGAAAGUGGAGCAUUUCUGUUGCGUGGUUGAUCUGCUUGGUAGAGCAGGGUUCUUAAAUGAAGCUGAAGAACUUAUGAAAGCAAUGCCUAUACAACCUGAUUCUGCAGUUUGUGGGGCGCGUUUAGGUGGUUGCAGGAUUCAUGGAAAUGUUGAGUUGGGUGAGAAGGUAGGGAAGCUUUUACUUAAGAUGGAACCAAAAAAUAGUGGUAGAUAUGCCCUGUUAUUAAACAUCUAUGCAAAAGCAGGUAGACGAGAUGAUGUUGCAGAAGUGCGGAAAUUGGUGAAAGAUGGAGGAAUCAAGACAAUCCCAGUGUUAUCAAUUCGAUCUUCACUUUUCUACAAAGAGAGUGGCAGAGACAAUUGAGGGGAGCCCCAAUAUCAGUGGAAUGCGAGAGUUUGAUUGUAUCCUGCGGGCGCAGACAAAAAAACCCUUGUAAGUAAUAUUAUUCUUAGGAUUUUAAUCGAAACAGGUAUAAGAAUGCAGUUGGUUUAUUUUUGGCUCUUAUUCCUUAUAAUGAAUCCAAGCAGAUUUAUUCUAUUGAUUGUGAUUCUUUACCACAGUUAUUGUUUUCUAAUGAAGCAGUAAAACUACAGAAUGUGAAGUUAGAAUUCGGCCUACUCGUAACUGGUUGAUUUGCUUAGCUAUCUUGAAGUCAGGACGUUAUAAUUCAUGGAAAUGUAUUCAACAGAUCCCAUAUGUUUCAUAAAUUUGUAAUCUGUUGGAAUUGAGAAGAGUAGAAGAAACACAUUGUAAGCUUUUGCGUUUCUGGUUAAUUUCGUUUGCGGGACCUGGAAAGUUCACCUGUUAAACUAUCAAGUAUACUACACACAGAUUACAUGCAUAUUGUCGAAGUGUCUGUCAUCUUUUGUACAAUCGUCAUGAACAGUCUCGUAACUGAAACAAAAGUCUUAUGGUGCUGGAAUUACUGCUGAGCUAGUUGGUAAGCAGCAAUAUUUUGUUCAACGCGAUUGCAAUGUUUUCGUUUAGGUAAUGUUUAUGAGAUCAAUGACAGAGUUUUGUUCCAGCUUUAUGGUAACUGAACUGCUGUUUGGGUUCUGAACUGUGUUACUGUAUACAUCCUGGCGGUUCAACUGUCUAGAGUCUUUGGUACUGAGGAAAACAAAAAAUUGUACUUAGACUUGAGCUUGGGACUGAAUUUGUACAACAAGUAUAUAUGCAUCU